This 572-nucleotide ribosomal RNA is filed under the name Klebsiella pneumoniae. RNAcentral's name for it is "bacterial SSU rRNA". It matches the Rfam family "Bacterial small subunit ribosomal RNA", at positions 820 to 1392 of the family's 1533-position model. The record is from RNAcentral. Lineage: Bacteria; Pseudomonadati; Pseudomonadota; Gammaproteobacteria; Enterobacterales; Enterobacteriaceae.
GAGGUUGUGCCCUUGAGGCGUGGCUUCCGGAGCUAACGCGUUAAAUCGACCGCCUGGGGAGUACGGCCGCAAGGUUAAAACUCAAAUGAAUUGACGGGGGCCCGCACAAGCGGUGGAGCAUGUGGUUUAAUUCGAUGCAACGCGAAGAACCUUACCUGGUCUUGACAUCCACAGAACUUUCCAGAGAUGGAUUGGUGCCUUCGGGAACUGUGAGACAGGUGCUGCAUGGCUGUCGUCAGCUCGUGUUGUGAAAUGUUGGGUUAAGUCCCGCAACGAGCGCAACCCUUAUCCUUUGUUGCCAGCGGUUCGGCCGGGAACUCAAAGGAGACUGCCAGUGAUAAACUGGAGGAAGGUGGGGAUGACGUCAAGUCAUCAUGGCCCUUACGACCAGGGCUACACACGUGCUACAAUGGCAUAUACAAAGAGAAGCGACCUCGCGAGAGCAAGCGGACCUCAUAAAGUAUGUCGUAGUCCGGAUUGGAGUCUGCAACUCGACUCCAUGAAGUCGGAAUCGCUAGUAAUCGUAGAUCAGAAUGCUACGGUGAAUACGUUCCCGGGCCUUGUACACACCG